Molecule: ribosomal RNA, 955 nt
Filed under: uncultured marine bacterium
Lineage: Bacteria
Description: bacterial SSU rRNA
Rfam family: Bacterial small subunit ribosomal RNA
Source: RNAcentral
UCGAACGAAGUAGCAAUACUUAGUGGCAGACGGGUGAGUAACAUGUAGGUAUCUUCCCUAUGGUGAGGAAUAACACGAGGAAACUUGUGCUAAUACCUCAUAAGUCUUUACGGAGAAAGCUUUGUGCGCCAUUGGAUGAGCCUGCACUUGAUUAGCUUGUUGGUGGGGUAAUGGCCUACCAAGACUAUGAUCAAUAGCUGAUUUGAGAGGAUGAUCAGCCACAUUGGGACUGAGACACGGCCCAAACUCCUACGGGAGGCAGCAGUAGGGAAUCUUGCACAAUGGGGGAAACCCUGAUGCAGCGAUGCCGCGUGAGUGAAGAAGGCCUUUGGGUUGUAAAGCUCUUUCGUCGGGGAAGAAAAUGACUGUACCCGAAUAAGAAGGUCCGGCUAACUUCGUGCCAGCAGCCGCGGUAAUACGAAGGGACCUAGCGUAGUUCGGAAUUACUGGGCUUAAAGAGUUCGUAGGUGGUUAAAAAAGUUGGUGGUGAAAUCCCAGAGCUUAACUCUGGAACUGCCAUCAAAACUUUUUAGCUAGAGUAUGAUAGAGGAAAGCAGGAUUUCUAGUGUAGAGGUGAAAUUCGUAGAUAUUAGAAAGAAUACCAAUUGCGAAGGCAGCUUUCUGGAUCAUUACUGACACUGAGGAACGAAAGCAUGGGUAGCGAAGAGGAUUAGAUGCCCUCGUAGUCCAUGCCGUAAACGAUGUGUGUUAGACGUUGGAAAUUUAUUUUCAGUGUCGCAGCGAAAGCAAUAAACACACCGCCUGGGGAGUACGACCGCAAGGUUAAAACUCAAAUGAAUUGACGGGGACCCGCACAAGUAGUGGAGCAUGUGGUUUAAUUCGAAGAUACGCGCAGAACCUUACCAACACUUGACAUGUUCGUCGCGACUUUAAGAGAUUAAAGUUUUCGGUUCGGCCGGACGAAACACAGGUGCUGCAUGGCUGUCGUCAGCUC